Molecule: non-coding RNA, 45 nt
Filed under: Prorocentrum micans
Lineage: Eukaryota; Dinophyceae; Prorocentrales; Prorocentraceae
Source: RNAcentral
AAGCUUUCACUCAGUGAAAAAAAAAAAAAAAAAAAAAAAAAAAAA